RNAcentral lists this ribosomal RNA (253 nucleotides) under uncultured bacterium. RNAcentral describes it as "partial 16S ribosomal RNA". It matches the Rfam family "Bacterial small subunit ribosomal RNA", at positions 524 to 776 of the family's 1533-position model. The record is from RNAcentral.
UACGGGGGGGGCAAGCGUUGUUCGGAAUUACUGGGCGUAAAGGGCUCGUAGGCGGCCAACUAAGUCAGACGUGAAAUCCCUCGGCUUAACCGGGGAACUGCAUCUGAUACUGGAUGGCUUGAGUUUGGGAGAGGGAUGCGGAAUUCCAGGUGUAGCGGUGAAAUGCGUAGAUAUCUGGAGGAACACCGGUGGCGAAGGCGGGUCUCUGGGCCGAUACUGACGCUGAGGAGCGAAAGCGUGGGGAGCGAACAGG